UUUCCCAUUUAUUUGCUGUUCUAGUCUCUCAGUGAUAAGAGUAGUUAUACGCAUGGGAUAACAUAAUAUUGGGCCAUUGUAAAUUGAGAUGAAUAAUGUUUUGUCUUUUCUGCAUGGUGUAGGCAUUG
Small nucleolar RNA from Cricetulus griseus (Chinese hamster), 128 nucleotides. Ensembl annotates it as small nucleolar RNA SNORA20. NCBI's taxonomy places the organism in Eukaryota, Metazoa, Chordata, Mammalia, Rodentia, Cricetidae. The record is from Ensembl.